Long non-coding RNA from Mobula hypostoma (lesser devil ray), 398 nucleotides. RefSeq lists it as uncharacterized. The record is from RefSeq and is a predicted model, not a curated record. The transcript is spliced from 4 exons. Lineage: Eukaryota; Metazoa; Chordata; Chondrichthyes; Myliobatiformes; Myliobatidae.
GGUCAUUCUCGUGAACCUUCUCUGCACCCUCUCUAAUGCCAAAAAAGGAGUCUGCGGAGAUUCGACACAUCGUCAAGAACCUUGGCAAACUUCUAUAGAUGUGUGCUGGAAAGCGUACUGACUAGCUGCAUUACAACCUGGUAUAAGAACACCAAUUUCCGCUCACCAAUGAACAGAAAUCAUACAAAAGGUCCUAUAUACAUUCUGAUAGUCGACACCAUUAAACUAGCAACAACUUACUUCCCCCUCGUUUGGAAGGGAACUUGUGCUUUCAGCAGCAUCGUUAUGAAUUCUUUUUCUGCAAAACAAUAACAGUUAAGAAAGAAAUGUUGUGCAAUUCGCCAUAAUGAAGUCUAAAGCAACUGACUCUUUGGUGCCGGCCAUCGAUACUAAAGCAC